CCAACCGCCCACUAUCCCUCUAUCUCACUUAACUCACGCUGCACACACAGCCCACAUGACUAAGAUCUUAGUGUUUGUCAAUUAAGAUUUUUGACCUCGAGUAGAGUGUCAUCCCAAUGUAUAGACUCUCAAUAUGUAGUUGCCACAAUAAGAUUUUUCUUCUAUCACGAUAAGCAUAAUAUGAUUAGAAUGAGUUCGUUUGUCACUAGUUCUCGAGACUAUAGACAUGGUGUUCUCACGAUUAGAAAGAUGCGAUAACAAUCAAGCUAUGUAGCCACACUGAUAAUGAAAGUCUAGUAUCCCAAACUAGAAUACCAAAUAUGCAAUUCCGAGGACGGAAUUUUUAUAAGGAGGGAGGAAUGUAACACCCCGUUUCCUCGUAGCUACAUUUAGAGUAUUUUUGAACUUAGAUUUAAGAAGAUUCACGCCGGAUUGAGAAAAAGAAUUUAUUUUAAUUCCAACAAAUGAUUUGCAAAAUCCUUUUUGUAAAUGUUAGUCAUUUAAAUUCUUAUGCAUUUCAUAUUUAUUUAAAUUGUAUAUUAAACAUUUAGCAUCUACACGAGCUAUUUAUUUAAGCAAACACUGAUCGAUUAUUACAGUUUUCAUAGUACAACCCGAAAGUUUUUUUUAUUUUAUUUUAUUACUCCCACCUACUCCCACACCCACCUACUCCCACCUACUCCCACAGCCACCUACUCCUACACAACCAUACUGUUAGUACAAUUAUAGUGAACACCUACCAACUCCAUGUUUCCAUCCCAUCCAAGUUUUGCCCACCUAUAUUCAUCUCCUCACAAUACAACAAACACAUACACAAUAACACAUCUUGACAACUUCCUCAAUGCUCAAUCGAUGCUGCCAUCUAAAAGAUACACCAACUCAAAGCCCUUCCUCAAACUAGUAGAACACUCGGGCAUAACAUCAAGAAAAAGCUCAGCCUUUCCUAUCAAGGCUUUGUGACCAGGGGGAUUAGCGCUGCUUUCCCAAAACAGGUUAUGUGAUUAUGAUCUUCAGGCUUUGCCUAAUCAGGUUGAGCUGAUGUGAUGAUAGUGCUGCAAUGAGCAGAGUCUCCAGGGUUGUUAAUAAAUAGUUAACCUGUCUAGAAUAUGUCUUCAUACAUAUGUCUAGCUACAUUCCGCUGCAAGAUGUUGUUGAUGUUAUAGUAUGUUAUGUCAUACUUUGAGUCUUAAGAGAAUGGUUUCAUAUGAUGUAUAACUUAAUUAAUGAUAUUAAUUAAGUUUUAUGUUGUCUUUCAUAGACUGUUUAAAAGAGUAUUAAUGAGUAAA
Salvia miltiorrhiza (redroot sage) is the source of this 1286-nucleotide long non-coding RNA. RefSeq lists it as uncharacterized. The transcript is spliced from 3 exons. The record is from RefSeq and is a predicted model, not a curated record. NCBI's taxonomy places the organism in Eukaryota, Viridiplantae, Streptophyta, Magnoliopsida, Lamiales, Lamiaceae.